RNAcentral lists this ribosomal RNA (119 nucleotides) under Octopus vulgaris (common octopus). The record is from RNAcentral. Lineage: Eukaryota; Metazoa; Mollusca; Cephalopoda; Octopoda; Octopodidae. RNAcentral also lists the same sequence under 1 other name.
GCUUACGGCCAUAUCACGUUGAAAGCACCGGUUCUCGUCCGCUCACCAAAGUUAAGCAACAUCGAGCCUAGUUAGUACUUAGAUGGGUGACCGCUUGGGAAACCUAGGUGCUGUAAGCA